UACGUAGGUGGCAAGCGUUGUCCGGAAUUAUUGGGCGUAAAGCGCGCGCAGGCGGUCCUUUAAGUCUGAUGUGAAAGCCCACGGCUCAACCGUGGAGGGUCAUUGGAAACUGGGGGACUUGAGUGCAGAAGAGAAGAGCGGAAUUCCACGUGUAGCGGUGAAAUGCGUAGAGAUGUGGAGGAACACCAGUGGCGAAGGCGGCUCUUUGGUCUGUAACUGACGCUGAGGCGCGAAAGCGUGGGGAUCAAACAGG
This 253-nucleotide ribosomal RNA is filed under the name uncultured bacterium. RNAcentral describes it as "partial 16S ribosomal RNA". It matches the Rfam family "Bacterial small subunit ribosomal RNA", at positions 524 to 776 of the family's 1533-position model. The record is from RNAcentral.